UGAUGAUUUAGGAGUUUGAGGAACUGA
This 27-nucleotide non-coding RNA is filed under the name Homo sapiens (human). Lineage: Eukaryota; Metazoa; Chordata; Mammalia; Primates; Hominidae. The record is from RNAcentral.